Chiloscyllium plagiosum (whitespotted bambooshark) is the source of this 389-nucleotide non-coding RNA. NCBI's taxonomy places the organism in Eukaryota, Metazoa, Chordata, Chondrichthyes, Orectolobiformes, Hemiscylliidae. The record is from RefSeq and is a predicted model, not a curated record.
UGCACACAGACUGGAUGCAGGCUAUACGCCACUUCAAAGCAGCAGUUGAAGAGAAAACCACAGACAACACUUCCCACUGAAGUCAGCCAAGCUGUAUACGAGUAAAAGCAGCAAUCAUGGUUAUGGGAUCCUCAAUCGAUGGAAUAAGACAACCUUACUGCAUCAAUUAAACGCCAGGUCAUUUUGUUUGGGGGAAUCUGUUGGCUUCUCCUAAGUGGCUUCUGAGGAUUUCGCACCACUUCUCAUGGGAGAGGAUUUAUUUCCACCCCCUGGCCUUCAAGAGCAGACAAUUAUCUCCUAUGAAAUAAAAUCUAGAGAGUAUGGUACACAAUAAUCCCAGCAAUUUUCAUUGAUCAGAAGAAACUGGGGGAAAAAAAAUAAAGUUGCCA